Molecule: ribosomal RNA, 497 nt
Filed under: uncultured bacterium
Lineage: Bacteria
Description: partial 16S ribosomal RNA
Rfam family: Bacterial small subunit ribosomal RNA
Source: RNAcentral
GAUGAACGCUGGCGGCGUGCCUAAUACAUGCAAGUCGAGCGAACAGACGAGGAGCUUGCUCCUUCGACGUUAGCGGCGGACGGGUGAGUAACACGUAGGUAACCUACCUAUAAGACUGGGGUAACUUCGGGAAACCGGAGCUAAUACCGGAUCAUAUUUCGAACCGCAUGGUUCGAUAGUGAAAGAUGGCUUUGCUAUCACUUGUAGAUGGACCUGCGCCGUAUUAGCUAGUUGGUACGGUAACGGCUUACCAAGGCAACGAUACGUAGCCGACCUGAGAGGGUGAUCGGCCACACUGGAACUGAGACACGGUCCAGACUCCUACGGGAGGCAGCAGUAGGGAAUCUUCCGCAAUGGGCGAAAGCCUGACGGAGCAACGCCGCGUGAGUGAUGAAGGUCUUCGGAUCGUAAAACUCUGUUAUUAGGGAAGAACAAACGUGUAAGUAACUGUGCACGUCUUGACGGUACCUAAUCAGAAAGCCACGGCUAACUACGUG